CCAGCCUCAAGGCAGAAAGAAAAACACACAGUGAGAACUAUGGCCUAAAACAGCUAGAGGACUUCCCAAGCUCACCUUUUGUUUUGAGAUCCUGGGAGGACACUGAAGUUGACAUUGGUGCCGCAUGAGAACACGCAUGACACCUCUCCUCAUCCCACAGAUUCUCCAAGUCCCACAGAGGAUCUCCCGUUUGCUUUGUAUCAGCCAGCUCAUGCGGAGGGUGAAGAAGAAGCUAGGGAUAAAAAGGAUCUGAAUCUAAAGGGUGACAGUGGUGGGCUCUUAAUGUACUUCAAGGAAAGGUGGAAGAUAGUAGGCAUCAUGAGCUGGGGUUAUGGCUGUGGGUAGCACAACAUCCCAGGUGUAUAUACCUGAGUCAGUUUCUUUCUCAACUGGAUCUAUAACAUCCGGAAGAAAUGAAGCUUCUGCUGUUGUGAAGAUUCCUUCCGGGAACAGUUUUGCCCAUUCUCAUCCCUAAUCUCCUUCUCAUCACAACUAGGAGUUUCCACCCUGAGCAGGAUCUCAUUUCUCAAAGAAGAGUGCUUCCUUCAGACAUUUCAAGGCUUCCUUAAAGCAGCUGAGGGUCCUGGGUUCAAAUGCCA
This 599-nucleotide long non-coding RNA is filed under the name Phascolarctos cinereus (koala). RNAcentral's name for it is "lncRNA (ENSPCIG00000034409.1)". The record is from RNAcentral. Lineage: Eukaryota; Metazoa; Chordata; Mammalia; Diprotodontia; Phascolarctidae.